This 251-nucleotide ribosomal RNA is filed under the name uncultured bacterium. RNAcentral's name for it is "partial 16S ribosomal RNA". It matches the Rfam family "Bacterial small subunit ribosomal RNA", at positions 525 to 775 of the family's 1533-position model. The record is from RNAcentral.
ACGUAGGGUGCAAGCGUUGUCCGGAAUUACUGGGUGUAAAGGGAGCGCAGGCGGACCGGCAAGUUGGAAGUGAAAUCCAUGGGCUCAACCUGUGAAUUGCUUUCAAAACUGCUGGCCUUGAGUAGUGCAGAGGUAGGUGGAAUUCCCGGUGUAGCGGUGGAAUGCGUAGAUAUCGGGAGGAACACCAGUGGCGAAGGCGACCUACUGGGCACCAACUGACGCUGAGGCUCGAAAGCAUGGGUAGCAAACAG